This 506-nucleotide ribosomal RNA is filed under the name uncultured bacterium. Its description in RNAcentral is "partial 16S ribosomal RNA". It matches the Rfam family "Bacterial small subunit ribosomal RNA", at positions 28 to 523 of the family's 1533-position model. The record is from RNAcentral.
GAUGAACGCUAGCGAUAGGCUUAACACAUGCAAGUCGAGGGGCAGCAUGGUCUUAGCUUGCUAAGACUGAUGGCGACCGGCGCACGGGUGCGUAACGCGUAUGCAACUUGCCUCACAGAGGGGGAUAACCCGUCGAAAGACGGACUAAUACCGCGUACACUUGGAGGGAGGCAUCUCCCAUCAAGGAAAAGAAAUUCGCUGUGAGAUAGGCAUGCGUCCCAUUAGCUAGUUGGUGAGGUAACGGCUCACCAAGGCAACGAUGGGUAGGGGAACUGAGAGGUUGAACCCCCACACUGGUACUGAGACACGGACCAGACUCCUACGGGAGGCAGCAGUGAGGAAUAUUGGUCAAUGGGCGAGAGCCUGAACCAGCCAAGUCGCGUGAAGGAUGACUGUCUUAUGGAUUGUAAACUUCUUUUGUAGGGGAAUAAAGAACGGUACAUGUACCGUAGUGAAUGUACCCUACGAAUAAGCAUCGGCUAACUCCGUGCCAGCCGCCGCGGUAG